Molecule: non-coding RNA, 9462 nt
Organism: Meleagris gallopavo (turkey)
Lineage: Eukaryota; Metazoa; Chordata; Aves; Galliformes; Phasianidae
Source: RefSeq, a predicted model, not a curated record
UGUGCACAGCUCAGCAGCCGUCCAUGCAACGGCCGUGAGUCACCAUUCAAACUGAAAUGCUGCAUCUCAACACCGACCAAACUUUGUGUUAACUGUACCACCGUGCACGUGAGUGCAGCUGCUCUAACAGAACAGCAGCAGUGCUGGCUGAGCUGAGGGCUGCCUCCCAUCCCAGCUGUGUUGCAGCUGUGCACGGUGGGGUUGGGGCCAUGCCCUGUGCACAGCCCCUGCUCCUCCAGCCAGGACACAGCACUGCAUUGCUGAUGGCAGCGCCGUGCGGUCACUGCAGGCCAAAGCAGCACACAUUGAGCAGUUUGUGAGGUCCAGCAAACCAGAGGUUAUCAGUCUGAAACCCUCCUGAGGUACAUUUACCGAUUCUUAACUGGUAACCUAAAUGAGAUGGUAGUUUUCUUGAAAAGACCUCAUGAGGCCUUACUGCUUCGUUCCUCCUGGCCCUCCCAGCAGCCAGUUUGCUUUAGCACACAGGCAGGAAGCCUGCAGUGCCUGCUGCAAGUAACGCGUUUAAAGUCAGGGUCAUGAACAAAAAGGGUUAGUCUGGUCUGUAAACAGAGGUGAUAAGGGUUUAACCAAACCCACAGUACUUCCCAGGCCCCCCUGCGUGCUGACAUUCAUGGCUGUGCUGCAUUCCAGGGCCCCAAGUGUCAGCAGCUCCCGCUUACUCAGUGACAGCGCCUGCAGUCUGGGUGCCCGCAGGUCCCGUUCUGCAGGACCCGGCCCAGGCUGCGCCCACCUGCCCAGGAGCCACAGCUCUCCCCGGCCAGCAAUCACUGCAGCCCAAUGGAGAGCCGGGGGACCCGCGGGCGGCCGCUGCAGAGCUGUGUUGUGCAGUGGGCGUCGCACUGACAGCAGUGGCUGUUCGGAGUCACAUUCCCUUAGCUGAGGUCUCAAAUUCAGAUUUCUCGGAUGGUCAACACAUUUGCAGACAAAGGUUCACAGGACAAGUGUGGAUUCUAAGUAGGAAAGAGAACGCAUUCAAAUUCACCACAUAUUUCUUCUGCUGAAGAUUUAAACAUUGCGUGGCUUUAGCUUUCUUUCUGUUCACUGAAUAUCAAGGUCAAUUAGGAAUGAUGUCUGGCUAGUACUCUCAGAGCAGAUUAGACAGUUGCAUCAAAAACUAGGACCGUGUAUAGGUCAUCUGUUACUGUGACCUACAUUUCUGAGAAUCUGUUCAAUUUGUUUUAUUCAAAAUGUUGUGCCGUCUCAGUUCUGUUUCUUAUAGUAAACCUAUAACAGUAGAAAAUAGCUUCAUUAGAUACGUACAUAGACACUGCUUACUCCUUCUACUAAUACACAAAGAAAAUGAGAUCCGUACAGCAGACCUGUGUCUGUCAUCCAUUUAAUUUUGAAAUAACUUAAGGUUCUGAAAGGCUUAUGCCUUAUAAUCUAAGGCAUUCGGCCCACAUGCCAAACACUAAGCAAUGUGAAAUACAUAACAGCUUAGCUGCAGCUUUGCUUGCCCUAUUUAAUUCAUUUUUACCUUCAGUAACCGGUGGAUAGAUGCAGUGCUCGGUGUUACGCUUUGCAAAUGAAGAACAUACUGCACUACUUGAGUGCAGCAGGGCUGUUUCCUUUCUGCCAUGUGAGCUUUGGGGAACCCUUACAGGACAGUGAGUUUUACUGCUCUGUCUGAACAGAACCAGACUUCUUCCAGAACUUUGCGUUUACUCGUGUAUGAGGAUUUUACCAUCCGCAUUUUGACACUAGUGCUCAGUGUCUGAGAUACCAACCUAUGCUUUCUGGGUUGUCAUUGUGAAACCACAAAGUGUUUCCAAGAGAAAUCUGCCUUGUGGAAAAGAUUCCUCUCUACUGACAGCUCUGAGUUGUUCCAGUCAGAAGAACCAGGAAUUGGGCAAACGUGUGCUGGUGGAAGUGCUUGGAAGGGGAAGGAGAGAAAGUAUCUUAAAAUCUUAGAAAAUAGCUUCUAAGUACCAAUGAAUUCAGUGCAAAAGGAAAACUGUAAAGUGACAUAAUAAUUGAAUACUCGAUUCAAACAGUAUUCUAACCAGAUUUUAGCACUACCAUCUACACCCCUGCAGCUCAUCGCUGUGCUUCGAGAACUGGCACAGAACACCCCUACAUCAGCUGUGCUCUCAUCACAGCCCAGGAGAAAACGCAGGCAGUGGGAUCAAACAACUGUAGGAGAGAGCACAAAAGGAGAGCUAACAGAUCGAGCUUCUCAGGGCGCCCAUGAGGCCAUGGGUGCUGGACUGUGGCCACGCAAGCCAGGAGCAGCUGCUGCAGCAGUGCUGCACAAGGCAGGCUCAGCAGGACGCUCGCUUCUGCGGCUCUCAGCAUGUGGGAGCCAUUUCCCCUCCUUCUUCCCCAUGUUUUGCAGCACCGGGGCCUUGCAGUGGAGAAGUGGAUGCUAAAUGCACAGGCAUGAAGGGAUCCUUAGUCUCAAAAAUAAGGUCUGCGUGGGUUGCAUGGGAACCACGCAGGUCACAGCUUGGAGGAAACAAUCUGCUUGUAGAUUGCUGGGUAUUCUCUUCAUAACCCUCAGAAUGAUCUAAAAGAUCAGUGGUCCCUAAAAUUUGUUUUUGGUGGGUUUUUUUGCUUAUCUUAUUUCCCAUCUAUGACGCUACAUCACGUUAUCUUUUAGCAACAAGAGAAACCUAGCUGUAUCCAUGUGCCCAUGAAUGCUAUAGGAAGCAGUGCACUUGGAAUUACAACUCCCUUUGAUGCUCUACAGACACAGGACAUUGACUUGCAUCACAUCCUUUGACACACAGACUUAAAAGAGACACCUGGGCCAGGGCUGGGUGGGAUCUGGUGCUGCCAGCACAGCAAUGGGCACCCAGUGAGGAAAUGGGGACCUGCAUGGCCUCCACAGGAAAAAAAAAUAGGUCCUUUAUGCACUUGACUAGUAGUUACUAGAAGUAAAAUCUUUACCAUAUUAAAUACAUCUUGAAUACAUGCUUCAAGAUAGCAACGUAGAGUUGGCCCAGAGGUGCCAUGCUUUCUAAGCUGAGCCAAAAAAGUGAUGUUUCAGAGGUGUUACUUUUGAGAAGAACUGCAAGUCUAGAAGUCUGGCAGAUGAGAAUUGGAUUAUAUAGCUGAAAAACACAGACCAUCUUCAAAGGACAAGUUGCAGUGAAUAGGACAUGACUGAAAAGCAAAUCCUUCAUCUGAUCUCUCUCCAUCCAUACAGCUUCCAAAGCAGAUAUUUUUGUACUUGUCGGCAGUAUCAGUUUGUGAACACAGGCACGUUGCUACAGCCAAGGUGUGGGACGUGUUGCACCUGGGAGCUGCCCCUGCUCAGAAGGGCCCUUCCCUUCCCUUUGCAGUGAGGACCAUGUGUCAGUCUGCUCUUUCAGGAUUCAAGCACAUAAAGAAAAACUCUUCAGAUCUCUCUUCUGAUUACUUUGCAACACAAAUUUUCUCUGUCAAAUACGCAUGCAAUUUUUGCACUUUUCUUCAGUGUCUUGAAGUGUUAAAAUGAUUUCUGGUAAGGUGCAUGCAGCAAUGCCCAUAGAGCAGGCUUUGUACAUGCUGAUCAGAAACAAAGGAGAGAGUAAUUCCAAAGACCAGGAUUCUCUUCAACAUUCUGAUCUCCAGCUACAUUUUGUUUUUCAGAAAAAUAUAAGGACAUUUCCAGCCUCACUGCUGAGACUUGUAUAAGAGCAGAUAGCAUCUUCUGGCCAAGUCCAACUGUUUCCCAUCUGAAAGCAGAAAGUCCAUUCUCCACAGCAGAAGCAGUUUUGGCUAACAGGAAUGCCGCACUGAGAGCUGUGCCAGUAGUUUCUAAAAAUACCAAAAGGAAGAACCCAGGCUGGGCCUUGGUGCUUGCACAGAUCAGCUGCCAUCAACAAGAGCACUCAGCACAGUGGUACCUUUGGAGGAAGUUCUUACCUGAGCUCACCACUGUAAUAACGCAGGAGAAAUAUUUCAGUGAUGAAGAAUCAGUAGCAUGCUGCAUAUACCAACAGACAGUGGCGUUGUAUCUGCAGAAGCUGCUUACCAGCAUUAGAUGUGCCACAGCACAACUGCAGGAACUUAUUUUUAACACUGAGGAAUCUCAGCUGUCCUGACAAUGAAUACUGACAGUAAUCUUUGGGGCAACAAACGUAAAAGAUGUGGGAUAAGAGGAGUUCACAGGGAUGCUGCUAGGGAACCCACACAAAGAAAAAUUCAUUCACGGUUACUGGAUGCGCAGGGGCUGAGACACAGGGAGCUGAAAGCCAUCUGGAAGACAGCAGAUGAUUAGGAAGAAAUAUGCAAGUUGCUCCUGCUUAUGUCCUCUAUGUGCCCAUUAACCACCACUUAGAUCUGCUUCAUUGUAGCUGAUAGCUGCAAUUCAGCAGAGCUCCCAGCCAUCACUUGGUUUUGGUUUUCUUUUGAAUUAAACGGAAGAUUUCUUACAUUACGUAAAACAAGAUGAAGAUGUACGAAAUAAAGCUAUCCUGGGCUGAGAUCGCUUUGUUCCACGCACACUGCAGGCCCACGCUGCCGGCACGCAGCUCACUGCAGACCCACAGCUCUGCUCAGAGGAGCCCCCCAGGGUGCAGGAGCUGCUGCCACCUCCCUUUGGUGCCUGGGGAGGGCUGGGAAGAAGGAGGCAGAGCUGGCAAUGCUGUGCGGCUGAUCCCUGCACAAAAACAACUUAGGAGACAGAUACUGAGCUGAAGCCUAAUCCACUGUGAUCGUUCCUAUGUAAGUAGGUCAGCAAGAAAGCCCCCAAACGCAGCGUCUUCCAGCCCAGCAGCGGUUCUCCCUGCAAGCGCAUUUGACAGAUACUACUUUUAGCAGGUAACGCGUUGGGGGGUUUGAUUUUGAGAGCUCGUGUGUUUGCCAUAGGAAGGUAAAGCAAGUUCCAUUUAAAAAGUACAGCUGUUUCAGCUUCUGCUUCCUCUUUGUUUUGCUGCAUUAUCUCUCUGCAGUUCAAAAGAAGCUUUUCACUCUUCCAUGCUCUCUUGCAACAAAAGAUUACACCAAUUUUGUGAAGCCAAAACAUUUUCCCCUACUUAGCCCAGACUCGAGGCUCUGUGUUUCCCUGCAGCCCCAGAAGCACCACGGAGCUCAGGGCAGCUCUGCUGUGCUCUGCGGUGUGGGUAAGGGUACCAGCAGACAGGACAGAGCUCUGCCUUUCGUUAAUGUGCUUCAGAGAACUUUAUCUGCAAUUUGCAUGCGCAUACCACUGGUUUGAUCAACUUGAUCCUGACACUGAGCUAAACAGACUGGCAGUAGUCUUGAUUAUUUCCUUUGCUCUCAGCUCACCUUUUUAGAAACCCUUCCUGUUCAGCAAUCUCUUUGGCAUAGCCCAUACUCAUCAGGACAAAGUACCAUUUCAGCAGCUACAGGAGAACUAAGUGCAGAUGCAACAGCCUCUGUCCCUGUAAUACCUCACAGUAGUUAGAUUGCACACACACGUGCAGUCGCUGACCUGACACAGCAAGUACUGCUGCUUACAGUAGAGUCCUUGGUGCCAGAACAGUCAAUGGUCCUUGUUCCCAAACAUCAAACUUUGCGUUUGACUGUACCAAAACAUUCAUUUUUGCUGUUUAUCUAGAGACACGGGGUUAUGUUUCUAUCUAUCCUUCAUCUUUCCAUUUAAAACAAAAGAACAAAAACCUGCAACAACUGAAACAGUGUUUCUCCCAGGUGUGCAGAGCAGUGCUUUACAACACAGCGCAGUCACUCUUAAGUCAUCAACUUGGUCAGGUUCCCAUUUAGAAUUAUGCUGAGACCUCCUCAUUUGUCACUUUUUAAUCCUUUUAACGUUUGCCAUAGCAAAUUUGUAUCAUACCAGUUUGAGGUGUCAUAUGUUAUUAAGUCAGACACCUCACACAGGUCCAGAGUUACGCUGCAUCCACCAGCCAAUUUGUCAGCUCAAAAUUGAAUCACAAUAACUUGUGAAAUCCCCCAUAAAUCAUUGGAAACGGCUAUCAGUUUCAUUCCUCUCUGGUCCCAGAAGAGCUCUGUGUUUAUUUUCUCUGAUAUAGCAUUGUAGCAUUACGGUCCCACAGGGCAAAUGGUGCAGAUUGGUUCCUUUGUGCCCCGAUCUCACCGUACCCCAAGAUGUAUCCAGCAGCCCAACAGUGAGCCUUGGGGCAGGGUGAAGAAACAGAAGCAUCAGUGCUAAACGUGAAGGCUGUUUGGCUGCGGCGUCGCUGCUCACACGCUCACAUCAACAACAAGAACAUUCUCAUGGCACAGCUGAGCUUGCUUGGGACAAAACAAAGGCGUUUGUACCCGGCCUUCCCACCGCUGCCGUGCGCCCGCACGCCCCAUCGUGCACGGAGCGCCGUGCAGGCGACAGCGUGACCUGGUGGAGGUCGGGGGCACGAAGGGAGGAAGAUGUGAACUGAGGAAAAAGCCUGUGUCACAAGGAUCAGUUGAUGCUUAGUGGCACCAUUAAGAUCAGUCAGUCCAUGUAAGCAGUGACUCCAAGCUGUAUCCUGGGAACACGCUCAUCCCUCACGUGAACAUCCAGCUUGCUCGGCAUGAGACAACUGACUGGCUUUAACUACUUUUGCAGACAAUACGCAGGUUGUUAAGUUAUGUUCAUAGAGAACGCUCUUGGCCCUGGGAUGAGAGGAAGCACUGAAUUGAAAUCCUCUGCAGAAUUUUACAGUGAAAUGAUUCCUGCUAACUUUGUGAGCUCUGCUUCACUCCCUGCAGUUGUUUCAGGAACAGCAGCAGAUUCCACUUCUAAAAAUAAGCUGCAAGUAGCUUCUCUCUCAAACCCACAAACCAGGUGGAAAAAAGUGAAGACGACUAGAUACAAUAUAGACAUUUAAAGAGACUAAAUGCAAAAUUACAAGGCUGGGAGCAUCAUCCCUGCUGCAGUCGGCACAGAAAACAUUUCAGCAUUGGGUGAAUCCACUGGGAAUCACAGGAUCAGUCUGCCAACCCCCACCCCACGGCUCUGCCUUUGAAGGGUGACCCGAGCUUCAGGCUCCAAAAUGCUUCAAAAACCUUAGAGCAGUUAUUGACAAUACACACAUCCACAGGAAGAAAGGCUCUUUCACAACUGCCAUUCAGACACAUUCAAAGCUGUUUUAAGCACUAAGUCAAGUUCACACUGAUAACAGUAUUGUUAUACUUCUGCUAUUCAUUAGUGCUCCCGGUUCCAUUUUGUAAUUAAAAUACUCCAUUUUGAAAUUAAAAUACUCGGAGCAGUUUAAGACUUUGCAAUAAAGAAUGUGCAGCCCUCAACAGUGUUUCCACUGCUAGUCUAUGGAAAACAUAUGCAUGGAAAAUAUGCACAGUACAUGUAUACAGCCAUCUUUGGAUAGCUUCAGUGAACAUUCAACGCUGUCGGUGAGUUUGAGAACUAAGAAAAACCAUCGACCGUUGACUGUACCUUGAGGUUUAUCACAAACCCUCUGUUAAACGGAGCUUGAACCUUCAUAGCUAUAUACAUAUGGUUGCUAUUAGCACGCUGUGAUUUACAGAUCAUAUUGAAAGCUACAGAGAUGGAGUUUUUCCAGUUCUACUUUCUCAAAAAAUGAAUUGAUGUGUAAGAAAUAGUUGUUUUCUAUUUUUAAAAGACUAUGAGUUAGACCAGAAUUUCUGCAAAACAAAGUAUCUGAGAGUAAUGGAAGAUUUUGGGUGGACACCACAAGAGUAGUAACGGAUCUACAGCAUAUGGUAUACUUGGAAACAAACCUGAGGAUGGUACAUGUUCAGAACAGCAGAAGGGGAACCCAUCCCAUUUGGACUGGCAACUUGAGCUCAGCUAGAAGCAGCUCAGGAAUGUCAGCUCAUUUGCUCCUAGGAGCCUGCACUGGGUUUCAGCAGCUGCUCACCAGCAGCACUGCCAGAGGACUGGAUUCCUCCCCACAGGGUCCAGCUGCUCCCAUGACUCACGCUGUCGCUUUACAAGCAGGCACACAGGCAAAUGUCCCUCCUUUCAAAGGAGAGGUGAACGCACACAGCUCAGCAGCACCUGCUCUGCUGUCCCACCUGGCUGCUCAGGUGCAGCACCACACACAGCCUGCUGUAACAGCACCCUCACAAGAGCACGGGCACCACAGAACCCAUAAGGGAAUGGCUUAGAGCACACGCCUGUUGGUUUGGGCUGUUGUGGAAGAGAUCACAUGCAGUUUUACUUCUGUACACAGCCACGAGAUAUUUGUCUCAGACCCACAAGAAAGCACAGACUCCUGAAAGUGACAGCUAUUCCCUGGAAGUACACUUUGCACCUUUAUCUGCUCAUAUCACACGAUCCAGCAGAAUUAAAACAACAGAACAGGCCCUUAUCACAUUGCUUUUGACAGUACUGGGCAUCUGGUACCCCAACCACCAGGACUUCCCUACCACGAGGGUCUGAAAGCCUUCAGCCACACAGACCCUCAUCACGGAGCAGCACUCCUGGCCAGGGCAUGUGCCCUGUGCAAGCUCUGCUGGUGGCUCUGCAGUAAUCUCAGAGAGGACAAACACUUGGGCAGGAUGUCUCUCAUACUGCUGUAACACAAGCAUUUCUGGAAUGAAACCCAGCCCUCAUCAAGUUUGAGGACAGGGAUUGUGCUCAAGAAUUGUUGGACAAUCAUUUCAGUGGCAGCAGGGCGAAGGUGCGAUGACGAACAUGCAGUUCUCAGCCUUGUGCUACACAGUUGGGAAUGAUCUGAUCUGCAGAAGCAAUCUGCCUGCCAGCAGGAAUCUGUGAGUAACCGAACAAAUCACCUUUACGUAGAGGGUAACGUUUGUCAUAUUUUAAUGCCAUUAUCAGAGCACAGAAUGUUUGUCUACUAUCCUCCCCACGGAAAUAUAAUUUCCAGAAGUCACCAAGACUUCAAGAAGCCCUGAAAUAACCGCGUGCUCCGAGACCAAGGACUGCACUGCCGCCUGCCCUGCAGGACCACACAGCACAGUGGGGCUGUCAGCGCUCCGGCCCAGCAUCUAAUGGCUGCAAUCAACAUUCAUUGCUGUCGGUGGGUUUUUGUUGCUAUCAACUCACUGAUCAAUGAAUGCAAACUGCGGACCAGCUGGCUAAGAGGCUGCGUGACCAUGCUGCUCACCUGGGGCUGAGCCUGGCAGGAAGGGGACACAUGCCUGCUGCUGGAGAAGCUGAGUCGAGUUCUGCCUGCCAGUAACCAGAGGGCUGCACUGGGGCUCAACAGGAGCAGUGGAACAUGCCAGCCCUGCUCACCAGGGAGCACGUGCCCAUAGGGAUGCUCUUUGCUAUCUGGCAGCCUGCCUCAAAAGAUUAAUGUUCUACAAAGCAGUGCAUUUGGGAUAAAAUAAGCAUACCCUGUAGAUAAGCAGAUAUUCUAACAGGCCACAAACACAGCUUUUUUCAAGGCUGUAUUUCUGUUCCAAGUACAAGAAAGCAAUCGUGAGCCAUCUUCAGUGCAGACACCAUUAGUCCAUGCUGCUUCUAUGGGGGAUCCUUUAUAGAGCAUACAAGCCAUCUGUAUAAAUAUGGAAGCCUGAUCAGAUGCAUCUCUGUGCCAGUCUGUACUAUUGAAGCACAUUAAAAACAUUAUCUUGGAAUAUGAA